AACGAACGCUGGCGGCAUGCCUAACACAUGCAAGUCGAACGAGACCUUCGGGUCUAGUGGCGCACGGGUGCGUAACGCGUGGGAACCUGCCCUUAGGUUCGGAAUAACUCCCCGAAAGGGGUGCUAAUACCGGAUAAUGUCUUCGGACCAAAGAUUUAUCGCCUUUGGAUGGGCCCGCGUUGGAUUAGCUAGUUGGUAGGGUAAAAGCCUACCAAGGCGACGAUCCAUAGCUGGUCUGAGAGGAUGAUCAGCCACACUGGGACUGAGACACGGCCCAGACUCCUACGGGGGGCAGCAGGGGGGAAUAUUGGACAAUGGGCAAAAGCCUGUCCAACCAAUGCCCGGUUAGUAAUAAAGGCCUUAGGUUUUUAAAGCUCUUUUCCCCGGGAUGAUAAUGACAGUCCCGGGAGAAUAAGCCCCGGCUACCCCCGU
This 432-nucleotide ribosomal RNA is filed under the name uncultured bacterium. RNAcentral describes it as "partial 16S ribosomal RNA". It matches the Rfam family "Bacterial small subunit ribosomal RNA", at positions 29 to 506 of the family's 1533-position model. The record is from RNAcentral.